UACGUAGGGUGCAAGCGUUGUCCGGAAUUAUUGGGCGUAAAGAGCUUGUAGGCGGUUUGUCGCGUCUGCUGUGAAAUUUCGGGGCUCAACCCCGAACUUGCAGUGGGUACGGGCAGACUAGAGUGUGGUAGGGGAGACUGGAAUUCCUGGUGUAGCGGUGAAAUGCGCAGAUAUCAGGAGGAACACCGAUGGCGAAGGCAGGCUCUGU
RNAcentral lists this ribosomal RNA (208 nucleotides) under uncultured bacterium. Its description in RNAcentral is "partial 16S ribosomal RNA". It matches the Rfam family "Bacterial small subunit ribosomal RNA", at positions 524 to 732 of the family's 1533-position model. The record is from RNAcentral.